AGGUCAAGCUACAAAGGGCGCAUGGUGAAUGCCUUGGCAUCAGGAGCCGAUGAAGGACGCGAUAAGCUGCGAUAAGCUUCGGGUAGACGCACAUAGUCAGAGAUCCGAAGAUUUCCGAAUGAGGAAACUCACAUGGGAAACCCCAUGUAUCGUAAAGUGAAUACAUAGCUUUAUGAAGGUAAACCCAGGGAACUGAAACAUCUAAGUACCUGGAGGAAGAGAAAGAAAAAUCGAUUUUCUUAGUAGCGGCGAGCGAAAGGGAAAGAGCCCAAACCAAAGAUUUAUCUUUGGGGUUGCGGACAGAACAUUAACGAGAAAUUAUGGUUAACCGAACACAACUGGAAAGUUGGACCGUAGGGGGUAAUAGUCCUGUAGGUGAAAAUUAUAAUUAUCAAGUUCUGAUCCAGAGUACCACGAGACACGUGAAACCUUGUGGGAAGCAGGGAGGACCACCUCCCAAGGCUAAAUACUACCUGAUGACCGAUAGUGAAGCAGUACCGUGAGGGAAAGGUGAAAAGAACCCCGGGAGGGGAGUGAAAUAGAACCUGAAACCAUGUGCCUACAACCGAUCAAAGCACCUUAUGUGUGUGAUGAUGUGCUUUUUGUAGAACGAGCCAACGAGUUACGGUAUGUAGCAAGGUUAAGUACUUAAGGUACGGAGCCGAAGGGAAACCGAGUCUUAAUAGGGCGACUAGUUGCAUGCUGUAGACCCGAAACCGGGUGACCUAUCCAUGGCCAGGUUGAAGCGAGGGUAAAACCUCGUGGAGGACCGAACCACGUUGCUGUUGAAAAAGCAUGGGAUGAGCUGUGGAUAGCGGAGAAAUUCCAAUCGAACUCGGAUAUAGCUGGUUCUCCUCGAAAUAGCUUUAGGGCUAGCGUCGGAAAAUGUGAGUACUGGGGGUAGAGCACUGAAUGGGCUAGGGGGCAUAGCGCUUACCGAACCUUAUCAAACUCCGAAUACCAGAUACUAUCAGUCCGGCAGUCAGACUGCGAAAGAUAAGUUCCGUAGUCAAAAGGGAAACAGCCCAGAUCGUCAGCUAAGGUCCCAAAGUGUAAGUUAAGUGGAAAAGGAUGUGGGAUUUCUAAGACAACUAGGAUGUUGGCUUAGAAGCAGCCACUCAUUAAAAGAGUGCGUAAUAGCUCACUAGUCAAGAGAUCCUGCGCCGAAAAUGUCCGGGGCUCAAACUUACCACCGAAGCUACGGGUUCACAC
Molecule: ribosomal RNA, 1212 nt
Filed under: Clostridium botulinum
Lineage: Bacteria; Bacillati; Bacillota; Clostridia; Eubacteriales; Clostridiaceae
Description: partial 23S ribosomal RNA
Rfam family: Bacterial large subunit ribosomal RNA
Source: RNAcentral